UACGUAGGGGGCUAGCGUUGUCCGGAAUCAUUGGGCGUAAAGAGCGUGUAGGCGGCUCGGUAAGUCCGCUGUAAAAGUCAAAGGCUCAACCUUUGAAUGUCAGUGGAUACUGCCGGGCUAGAGUCCGGAAGAGGCGAGUGGAACUCCUGGUGUAGCGGUGGAAUGCGCAGAUAUCAGGAGGAACACCGGUGGCGAAGGCGGGUCUCUGGGCAGUAACUGACGCUGAGAAGCGAAAGCGUGGGGAGCGAACAGG
RNAcentral lists this ribosomal RNA (253 nucleotides) under uncultured bacterium. Its description in RNAcentral is "partial 16S ribosomal RNA". It matches the Rfam family "Bacterial small subunit ribosomal RNA", at positions 524 to 776 of the family's 1533-position model. The record is from RNAcentral.